Molecule: long non-coding RNA, 2374 nt
Filed under: Lupinus angustifolius (narrow-leaved blue lupine)
Lineage: Eukaryota; Viridiplantae; Streptophyta; Magnoliopsida; Fabales; Fabaceae
Description: long non-coding RNA (LANG_LNC001818)
Source: RNAcentral
GGGUGAUUUAUGUAGGUUUUAAAAAUGUGUGAAUAAUUCAUAUAAUUUCACUAAAACUUUAAGGUGUCAGUGUAAUUUACUCAAAUUUAAAAGAAUGAAAGUGAUUUAAUUCCAUUAUCCCAUCUCCUUAGUUUAUGUUGGGUUUUACAGAUGCUUUGAUAUCCUCUUUUACUGGUUGUAACUUUUCUCUCCUUAUAAAGACUAAAUAAUUUCCAUUGAGCUAUCGUUUGGUUGUUUAUUUAUCUAGACACAAGAAUUAUAUAGGUGAACUUUACUAGAAAAGAAAAGAGUUUAUUGUUACUUCAGAAUUAAUUUGAGAUGAAACGUGUUACGAAAUCUGGUUAUCUAAUGGUUAUAUCAUAGAUUCGUAUUAGCUAUAGUACAUGUGACACGUGUGGUAUAAGAUAUAGUCCAAUGUCAUCCCACUUUAGAUAUUAAUAGAAUGUGUGAUGAUAAUAUAAAAGUAUAGAAAUCUAAUAUAUAACAUGUCAUUACCUAACAUGUAUGUGAAUGUCCUUGUUGGGCUGUCUACAAGGCCACAUAGGAUUAUCAAUAAACCUCUUAAACUCAAAGAUUAUAUCUUGGAUAAUUAGAUUAGAUUUAAUAAGUUUAUAUCUCGGAUAAUUAGAUUAGAUUUAAUAAGUUGUUAGGAUUAUAAUUUUCAUAUCCGUAAUAUAUCUUUCUUAAAUAAGGAUGCUCAAGAGUAUCUGGCCCAUAGACUCAAUUUCUCUAUUUAAGUGAUGAUCAUCCACAUUAUGAGGAUAUAAAAAAACAAGUACUUUCUUUUACAAUUCUGAGUUUUUCUUUAGAUUCUUAAAUUUUUAUUAUUCUCCUAGGGUUAUAACCCUAACAUUGAUGCUUUCAUUGUUGUCUUCAUGCCUCCCAAAUCAAAUUCAACUUCUUCUUCCUCCCAUUCCAAUAUGGAGGAAACAUCUAACAGUGCGGUCCUUGCACAACUAGCAUCUCUGGAACAACACCUUUCGGACAGACAAGAGAUGAUGCAAGCUUCUAUGGAGGCUCGCUUGGAAAACAUGCUGACCGGACUGGUGGAGAAACUGGCAAACCUAGGCACUACAAACACACACUCUCCACAACAACUACCAAUUCAUGGAUCUCAACCCAGACCCCAACACCCAUGUACGUGCCAGGAUAUUUCCCACCACCAAGUAUGAUUAAACCACCCAAAUUACAUGUCCAACAAUUUGAUGGUUCAAAUCCUCAAGAUUGGGUAUUUCAAGCUGAACAAUAUUUCAAUCUUUAUCAAGUGGCACAUAUCCAACUAGUGGAAUUGGUUGCUUUUUCUAUGAAAGGAGAUGCUUUAAGUUGGUAUAAAUGGAUGUUUAAUACCAAUCAACUUACUAGCUGGGAAGCAUUCACAAAGGCCUUGCUCAUUCGCUUUGGGCCAUCUACGUUUGCUAACCCCCAAGCGGAAUUGUUUAAACUAUGACAAACAACUACCGUUACAGAGUACCAAACCCGAUUUGAACGUCUUUCAAAUCAGGUGGUUGGACUACCACCAGAGAUGGUAUUGAAUUGUUUCUUAUCCGGGUUAAACCCUGAAAUUGCAAGGGAGUUAGCACUACAACAAUCGUUUUCAGUUACUCAUGCAAUUGGAAUGACAAAAUUGGUUGAAAGCAAAAUUAAUGCUGCUAAGACAAACCUGUGGCGCUCAACACGUGCAACUGUAUCAGUUGCAAACAAUCAGAACGUCGCUACGAUGACUCAACCACCACCAAAUCAAACUCAUGCAUCACUACCAAUUAAACGCCUUACUGCAGCACAAAUGCAAACGAGGAGAGCUCAAGGACUAUGCGACAAUUGUUAUGAAAAAUAUAUUACAGGACAUCGUUGCAAACCUCAACAAUUCCUAUUACUCUUAAUUGAAGAUCCUACUGAUAAUUAUCACAACUUGGAACCUUUAGACAACAUUUCCAACCUCAGUUACGAACAAGAAGUCCCCGCCGAUAACAAGGUGAUUCACUUCCACCUCUCUGACCAAGCUUUCUAAGGCAAUCCAUCGCCCAAAACUCUAAAACUUCAGGAAACUAUUUUGGGUCACAAGGUAACAGUUUUAGUGGAUACAGGAAGUUCACAUAAUGUUAUGCAACCACGUGUCGCACAAUUUCUACAACUUCCUAUAUCACCCACACCAAAAUUCCCUGUAAUGGUGGGGAAUGGUGAACGCACCUACUGUACAGGCUUGUGCAAAGAGACGCCAAUCAACUUGCAACAACAACUAUUUACUAUUCCAUUUUAUUUAUUACCUAUUCAAAGAGCAGAUGUAGUAUUGGGAAUAGAAUGGUUAAGCACAUUGGGGCCAGUAACUUCAGAUUUUUCAGUUCCAUCCAUGACGUUCACUCAUGAUCACAAGCCU